UACGAAGGGGGCUAGCGUUGCUCGGAAUUACUGGGCGUAAAGCGCACGUAGGCGGUUUCUUAAGUCGGGGGUGAAAUCCUGGAGCUCAACUCCAGAACUGCCUUCGAUACUGGGAAACUUGAGUCCGGGAGAGGUGAGUGGAACUGCGAGUGUAGAGGUGAAAUUCGUAGAUAUUCGCAAGAACACCAGUGGCGAAGGCGGCUCAGUGGCCCGGUACUGACGCUGAGGUGCGAAAGCGUGGGGAGCAAACAGG
This 253-nucleotide ribosomal RNA is filed under the name uncultured bacterium. Its description in RNAcentral is "partial 16S ribosomal RNA". It matches the Rfam family "Bacterial small subunit ribosomal RNA", at positions 524 to 776 of the family's 1533-position model. The record is from RNAcentral.